Molecule: long non-coding RNA, 1171 nt
Organism: Beta vulgaris subsp. vulgaris (sugar beet)
Lineage: Eukaryota; Viridiplantae; Streptophyta; Magnoliopsida; Caryophyllales; Amaranthaceae
Exons: 2
Source: RefSeq, a predicted model, not a curated record
UUGAGAAGGAUCAAAAUCUAACCAUCAAUCUCUGAAAGACUCAACCCCAUUUUCCAUUUCCCUUGUCUCUCUUCCAUAUCUCCUCUCUAAAACCCUAAUCCCCAUCCCCCUCUCAUCCGCCCACCUCCGAUUGCUUCGAUCAUUCUCUCUUCUUAGUCUACCAUCCACUCAACCACCUACUCAACCACUCCUCUCUCGCUACACUCUCAACCACACCACGACGUUGGUCGUCGAAGACUGCACUACCCCCUGAAUGUUAACCAAACGAUAAACAUGCUUUGAGAUUGUCACCUGAAUGUUAACCAUUCAUUGAAUUGAAUGUCAAUCUCUAACUCUCUUACAGAAUGAAGAAUGGUAGUACUAAUUACAAAUUUCUUCAAAAAACGCAAAAAAAAUAAAAUUCAGUGGAUGAUAGUUGUAUUAGAAGUAGAACAACCAAUCAGUUUCAGUAAAUGAGAAGGGAUACAGAAAUCGGUCAAAUCGAGGCAGGUAAUAUGAGAGAUCUUGUCUACAUAAUUUCCAUCUGGUCUAAGACACCUUGUCAUCAUCAAAUUACAUGCUUGAAUGGAUAGACAACAAAGAGACGAGGGUAAGUCGUCAGAGAACUGAAUAAGCUCCCUGCAUUCUCGUAUCUCAAGUUCACGGAGGUUGACUACACGUUGAAGCUCCUUACAAUUGAUUGACCUUAGCCUCUCAAAAUCGUUAAAUAGUCGAAGGAAGUCGAGUGUGUUGGGCAGGAAAACGACUCCACAUCAUUACUUCCUUCAAUUUUCAUAAUAUUAAGAGAGAUGAGUCCACCAACUUGUCAAUCUACAUAUUUUCGACAAAGCUUCCCACAGUCGGCAACUGGCGUUGACUAUAAGCUAGGAAACAACCUACCUAGAGGAGAUGAGUUAAGAUUUUGACAACCCCUGAUUUCCAAGUGCUUCAGGGUCCCACACAGUCUAUCAGGCAAAGAUGCAAGACUGUUACAAUCAUUUAUGUUCAAGCUUUCAAGGUUAGCAGGUGUAUGUCGGAGGCUUGAUGUGGAGCGAAAAAAAGAGUUGGUUAUGAAGUUGUAAUUAGAUUUAAUGAUUUAGAGGUUGUAUUUAGGAGUAUAUAUAUAUAUAUAUAUAUAUAUAUAUAUAUAUAUAUCCUUAUUUAAGAAUAAAAUAUUAUAUUAUUUUGGGAA